GCCAGAGACGAACUCGCGGCCGCCCGCGUGGCAGGCGGGCAUUCUGCCAAUGAACCACCGAUGC
This is a non-coding RNA of Ostertagia ostertagi, 64 nucleotides long. NCBI's taxonomy places the organism in Eukaryota, Metazoa, Nematoda, Chromadorea, Rhabditida, Trichostrongylidae. The record is from the annotation of a GenBank genome assembly.